This is a long non-coding RNA of Oreochromis niloticus (Nile tilapia), 332 nucleotides long. RefSeq lists it as uncharacterized. The record is from RefSeq and is a predicted model, not a curated record. NCBI's taxonomy places the organism in Eukaryota, Metazoa, Chordata, Actinopteri, Cichliformes, Cichlidae. The transcript has 2 exons.
UUUUCUAACUUGGCUGAAGACACUGAAGGAUCACCCAGAUGUUGUUUCCUACUCCCUCCGGCCAAUCUACGAGCUGAUGACAAAUUAUACACAAAAUACAGGGAUGAAAGCUGCCAUUGAGCAGUACUUAGAGGACAAUGCUGUGAAAAAAUCGCCCAAUGAGCCAAACUGUGGUUCAAACAUUUCUAAUCUGGCUUCCAACUGCUGUCCUCUGCAAGCCUGGAGGGGGACGCUAAGGGUUACCAUUGUGCGAGCCUGGGACCUGAAAGGAGAUACAACUGGCCAGACUGAGAGCUAUGCAAAAAUGUGGUUUGGCUCCAGCUAUCGGCAGA